This is a long non-coding RNA of Drosophila navojoa, 189 nucleotides long. The record is from RefSeq and is a predicted model, not a curated record. NCBI's taxonomy places the organism in Eukaryota, Metazoa, Arthropoda, Insecta, Diptera, Drosophilidae.
AGCGUGCGGUACACUUAGCGGCUGCCUCAGACUACAGAACAGAGCAUUUAGAGAAAACAGUUCAAUAUAGCUAGCUGAAUGCGAAACGUGCGCGAAGUGAGCAGCAGCAGCAGCAGGCAGCCCCAUUGGCCAACUGAGUGAAGUCGCAAACGCAAUUUAGUGCCAACUCAUGUAAUUAAAGUGCAACAA